RNA transcript from Podarcis raffonei (Aeolian wall lizard), 3663 nucleotides. It is a transcript of the gene named TAFA chemokine like family member 2, with no coding region annotated. NCBI's taxonomy places the organism in Eukaryota, Metazoa, Chordata, Lepidosauria, Squamata, Lacertidae. The record is from RefSeq and is a predicted model, not a curated record. The transcript has 6 exons.
GCCCGGGGCGCCCGACCUCUCGCCCGUCUGGGGACCUUGCACCCCGCAGGAGCAAGGCGUGGGGUGGAGAAACAGUGUUCCCCCCUCACCCAAAGGACGCGCCAUCUGCCGCCUCAUCGGGACGUGGGCGCUUUCUCCCCGCUGCCUGCCUGCUUGCCCGCCCCAGCCACGCAGAUGGUUCCGCGCGCUUUCAGGGGAGAAGGAGAGCGAGGUGCCGUCGAAUAGCCCGCCUGAAGCAGCAGCAGCAGCGAGCUAAGCCAGCGACCUGGAGAACUACGAGCAGACUGGCUGCGCUGAAGGAAGAAUUUCCUCCGCCCGCUUUAUUCCCCGGGAAAGGGAGCAGAAUGGAGGGAGGCAAAGUGGCCGAAAGUGGCCCCGCGUGCUGAAAGCAAAGCAAACUAACCACAAAUGGAAUAACAGAGCGCGGGGAGAUCUCUCUGCAAUAGUCCGGAUUUGUUGCUCUUGCUUUUCUUUUUCUUAAAAAAAAAAAACCCUCUCUUGAGUGGAUCGGGGCGUCGCUGAGCAGCCAAAGGGCGGAGGGGCUGCGGGACUAACUUGCUUUUUCGGAGGGGCGAAAGAAAAAGAGAGAAGGUUGAAAGCGGCGUUUUUCUCUUUCGCGCAACCCCCCCCCCCUUAACGUUUUGUACGGUUGUGGUUUGGAAACCGUGCAAAGCAGAUCUAUAGCACAACCCCCAAAUUCCGCCCCCGUUGGCCUUCUGGUUUGUUUGGAACUCGCCUCCGAAUCCUAUUUAGACACAUAAAAGUAGCCCGCUCUCUUUUGAACCAGCGCUGUCUCCUCUCUCUCCCGCCCCCAUGCCACUGGAUGCUGCAGGCGAAUUUGGGAUUUGUAAGCGAUGCAAGUCCGAUAAAGCUGGAGUUUCCCUCCGGGACCUGAAGGAGGAUCGCUAGGUGGUUCCUUAAGGAAGCGGGUCUGCAGGAUGAAUAAAAGAUACUUACAGAAAGCCACAAAAGGAAAACUGCUAAUAAUAAUAUUUGUUGUAACACUGUGGGGCAGAAUAGCAUCUGGGGCAAACCACCACAAAGCUCAUCAUGUUAAAACUGGAACUUGUGAAGUGGUGGCUCUCCACCGAUGUUGUAAUAAGAACAAGAUAGAAGAAAGAUCGCAGACAGUCAAGUGCUCCUGCUUCCCUGGGCAGGUAGCAGGUACCACUCGAGCAGCUCCUUCUUGCGUUGAUGCUUCAAUAGUGGAACAAAAAUGGUGGUGCCACAUGCAGCCAUGUCUUGAAGGGGAAGAAUGCAAAGUUCUUCCAGAUCGAAAAGGAUGGAGUUGUUCUUCCGGCAAUAAAGUGAAAACAACAAGGGCAAACGUGUAAAACCCUUCAAGAACAAGGAGAUUUCUGCUGUGCCUGGUGACAAUUUUUGUUUAUUCCACAUACACACACACACAAUAUUCUGGCUCCACGUUUGGGGCAAUAGUUGUCAUGAAUCCUACUAUUGGUCGGAUUCUCAGGAAGGGCCAGAAGGUUCGUUGAGGAGUAAAGAAUCAAAACCUCUCCUGAAAGAUGUUACAGCCUUGCUUUGUUACUCACAGAGCAGCAGGUAACUCGAUAGCAAAAGACAAAUCAGAUCACACUCGAGGCUGAUAACAUUAAAUACAGCCAAGUAGGAAGUUUUAAUAUCCAACUUAACAAUCCUUGAGGCCAGGCUUGGGACUGCUGGGGCAUACUAAUUAUUUCAAAGAGAACAUUCGCUGUAAUCAGCAGCCACUUGAGAUCAAAAUGGCUGGAAAGUCACACACACAAGAUUUCGACGGAAUGAACUGUGUACAUUUGUAAAAAUAGCAAAAACAUGAAGGGAUAUAUGGCCGAAGAAGGGAUGCUUAAAGGACGCCGAAGAAAUAGCAAUCCUUUGGAUCCUUGCAUUGAGACUUGUGGCGUUUCACCUCGAUGAAAGCAGUAUACUUUGAAAUGUACUGAUCCAUUUCCUCUGGAACUUUCCUGGUCCUCCAUGCAAAUUAUUGGUGGGACUGUGCACUGUUGUAAUCAAACCACUGUUCCAGAAAUUGUCCUCUGACACAGCACAGUUUUAGACACGUUUAAUUUGUAUUCUAAUUCUGAAGCUCCAAGGCUACAUAUUUCAACAUGUCGAAGUUGCUUUUCUUAUAGGAAUGGAAAUACUAUAUAUCCAUCGUUAAUCAUUAUUGUUGGCAAGUAGUAGUUAUCUGAAUACGUCACCCAUAUACGAAUGUAUCAUUAGUCAGACAUGUUUCCCUAUGACUAACCAACUACCGCAAUUCCUUUCGGACAAAUAAAGGGUGAUCGAGACAGAAUGUUCAAGCCCUUCCAAUAACAUGCUAUUAAAAUAAUCAGUUCCGUAUAAUUUCAAGAAGAUGGGUGUUUUUUUGCAUACACUUUGGUUUAUUAUCAUUAGGUCCUACAAAGAUUAUGGUAAAAAAUAAAUGGCGCUAGUUAGUCCCUUCAUGAAAAUAGACGGGUGCAUGUUAAUUUUUCCAUUCUGAGGUUCAGUGGUAUUCAUUCAGAUACGUUUUUUAGGUUUUUGGGUUUUGUUGCUUGAAAAAAAAUAUUACUAUCUGGAUGCUUAAGUAGAUGUCUGUUUCUUGAUAGGACAAAAUAGGUUUCUUCAAAUCUGGAAUCCAUUGAAGAUUUCCUUGGCCACUCCAGGUACAUUGAGUUCAUUCUGUAGUUAUUUUGUUGAACCAGAAGUUCUUUUCUAUCUCUUAUUUCAGUAUCUAUUUUUUAAUCUUGGUGAUCUACUGUUUCAUGAAAAAUCUUAAUGUUUAAAUGCCUUAAGCAGCUGUAAACUUUUUUUUCUAAGUUAUUACAGAAUGUAUAAUUUUAUAUUCCAUUUAAUAUAUUUACCAUGCUAUGUGGAAAUAUGAAGACAGAACGAAUGGUUUCUUUUGCAUUCCAUACUGAUGUUGCAAGUUAGUCUUAGAGAAGGCAAAGAGAAGGCAAAUUUUUACUCCAUUUGUUUUGGGAGGUAAUAUGAAAACUACACAAACUCAAUCCUAACAGAAAGAGUUAUGCCCAGAACCUCAAGUUGUUUCAAGUGGUUACUAAUAUUUGUGGGGAAAGGGAACUCUUUCCCAUUGUAACAAAUAUUUGGCGUGGCUAAUUAGAAAUAAAUUGGGUUCUAUGAUGAAUGAACACCCUGAGGUACUUUUUCCUGUCAUGUGAUACAAGAUUGUUCCACAACAAUUUCAUUACCUCUGUUGUAUUAUGGCACUGGAUGAAAGAAAACAAAUGAUAGCUGAAAAUCAAUCUGAAAUGUAUAGUAUAUAAUUCUGCUACAGAGUAAUCCAAAUUUUUGCAGAAGGGGUAUUCUUGUUAAUUAAAUUUUAAUUAGGAUAAAUUGAUUGUAGCAUCAGUUAGCAGUCUUGAUAUUUUAACAGGAUUAAUAUUGUAUGGAUUCGUUUUUUAAAGGUAUGUGUAACGGAGAAACACAGAAUUCAAAAAAUAUGAUUAAUUCCUUUGCUUGGGAUAGUAAAAAGUAUAAAUGUGUAAUUUUGUAGCAGUUAUGAGUUUGGCUUUAAUUUAGCCAAAAAAUCUACAACAUGCUUCUCAACAUUUUCCCCCCUUUGUGUUUAUUCUUAAAACCAACACUGAAAAUAUUGUAUUAUAUACAAGUGUAAGACAUGCAUAUCAAUAGGUGAAAAAUAAAUGGAUUUUCGAAUAUACUGAA